AGAGUUUGAUCAUGGCUCAGGAUGAACGCUAGCUACAGGCUUAACACAUGCAAGUCGAGGGGAAACGACAUCGAAAGCUUGCUUUUGAUGGGCGUCGACCGGCGCACGGGUGAGUAACGCGUAUCCAACCUGCCCACCACUUGGGGAUAACCUUGCGAAAGUAAGACUAAUACCCAAUGACGUCUCUAGAAGACAUCUGAAAGAGAUUAAAGAUUUAUCGGUGAUGGAUGGGGAUGCGUCUGAUUAGCUUGUUGGCGGGGUAACGCCACAAGGCUACGAUCGGUAGGGUUCUGAGAGGAAGGUCCCCCANAUUGGAACUGAGACACGGUCCAAACUCCGUACGGGAGCA
This 349-nucleotide ribosomal RNA is filed under the name uncultured bacterium. RNAcentral's name for it is "bacterial SSU rRNA". It matches the Rfam family "Bacterial small subunit ribosomal RNA", at positions 8 to 349 of the family's 1533-position model. The record is from RNAcentral.